This 181-nucleotide non-coding RNA is filed under the name Pseudomonas putida. Its description in RNAcentral is "6S RNA". It matches the Rfam family "6S / SsrS RNA". From Rfam's summary of the family: E. coli 6S RNA was the first non coding RNA to be sequenced, but its function was unknown until recently. It consists of 184 nucleotides that fold into an extended hairpin structure with a large single-stranded internal bulge. The record is from RNAcentral. Lineage: Bacteria; Pseudomonadati; Pseudomonadota; Gammaproteobacteria; Pseudomonadales; Pseudomonadaceae.
CACUCCCUGGGGGAUGCGCCAGUCGGUUAUGUCCCUGAGCCGAUACGCACAACCACGGGGGGUUGCACGCUGGGGCCGGUGUGCAUGUCCGCCCGACGGAAAGCCUUAACGCCCCCUGCAAUCUCCACCUUGAACUUUCGGGUUCAAGGGCUACACCGAUAGCGGUCUUGUCGGGGAGCCU